UUCAACUUGAAAGCGGCGCUCGAGAUUCCCAUGAAGUGUGCGCUGCGCACCGUCAGCGCUCCCCCGGGAUACUCCUGCGGAGGUAUUGACAUUUCUCUGUCUGCAGACAUGUCUCGUAACUUUGCUCGAUCUUGGCAGGCAUGGUGGUUCCUCGAUCGCCUCCGCCAACUUCUACUUAAAAACCAUCGCUUCCAAGAUAAUCAAGCAAGCGUCCUUCGUCUCUCUCGCACUGGAUCAUCUUAGUUAAGUGUGCAGCUAUGCCAGUGAAUAAAGCUUGGGCUUCGCUCGCUCUAGAGCUCAAGCGUGCUAGCAACAAAUGCACUGUGCUCUCUAGCUUCCAUCCAGAGCUCCAGGUAGUGCAGGCCAGCGCCAGCGCCAGCGCUCUCUUGUCAGCUUCUUCCACAGGAUUCUUGAUGUUCUCUCCUCGAGAUCUCGUCA
This 438-nucleotide long non-coding RNA is filed under the name Selaginella moellendorffii. RNAcentral's name for it is "long non-coding RNA (SMOE_LNC000274)". Lineage: Eukaryota; Viridiplantae; Streptophyta; Lycopodiopsida; Selaginellales; Selaginellaceae. The record is from RNAcentral.